CCUACGGGGGGCAGCAGUGGGGGAUAUUGCACAAUGGGGGAAACCCUGAUGCAGCGACGCCGCGUGGGUGAAGAAGUAUUUCGGUAUGUAAAGCCCUAUCAGCAGGGAAGAAAGAAGACGGUACCUGACUAAGAAGCCCCGGCUAACUACGUGCCAGCAGCCGCGGUAAUACGUAGGGGGCGAGCGUUAUCCGGAUUCACUGGGUGUAAAGGGAGCGUAGACGGCCGUGCAAGCCAGGAGUGAAAGCCCGGGGCCCAACCCCGGGACUGCUCUUGGAACUGUGCGGCUGGAGUGCGGGAGGGGCAGGCGGAAUGCCUGGUGUAGCGGUGAAAUGCGUAGAUAUCAGGAGGAACACCGGCGGCGAAGGCGGCCUGCUGGACCGCGACUGACGUUGAGGCUCGAAAGCGUGGGGAGCGAACAGGAUUAGAUACCCCAGUAGUC
This 441-nucleotide ribosomal RNA is filed under the name uncultured bacterium. RNAcentral describes it as "partial 16S ribosomal RNA". It matches the Rfam family "Bacterial small subunit ribosomal RNA", at positions 338 to 795 of the family's 1533-position model. The record is from RNAcentral.